This 96-nucleotide ribosomal RNA is filed under the name Salmonella enterica subsp. enterica serovar Typhimurium str. TN061786. The record is from RNAcentral. Lineage: Bacteria; Pseudomonadati; Pseudomonadota; Gammaproteobacteria; Enterobacterales; Enterobacteriaceae.
UUUGCCUGGCGGCCGUAGCGCGGUGGUCCCACCUGACCCCAUGCCGAACUCAGAAGUGAAACGCCGUAGCGCCGAUGGUAGUGUGGGGUCUCCCCA